RNAcentral lists this small RNA (53 nucleotides) under bovine gut metagenome. RNAcentral describes it as "Streptococcus sRNA SpF59 (ldcC RNA)". It matches the Rfam family "Streptococcus sRNA SpF59 (ldcC RNA)". The record is from RNAcentral.
GACCACUCCGAAAACGGAGUCGAGGCCAUACGGACAGCCGGGUCCACUGCCGA